AAAACCGAAGCAUUAAGAGAAAAUCUGACAGGGUUUAAUUGUUUAUCAGGUCAAGAUCUAUCUGCCCUGAUGUUUUCACAUGGAUUGGACAACCCGUUGUUAGGUUACUGUCCUGAAUUGGUAAUUUUAAGGAAAUUUUUCCGUUUUUUGUUAUUAUCUUGAAUAUUAUUAUAGAUAGAGAUAAACUGUACACAGCAAUAACGUUCAGCAAAAU
This 214-nucleotide long non-coding RNA is filed under the name Mytilus galloprovincialis (Mediterranean mussel). The record is from RNAcentral. Lineage: Eukaryota; Metazoa; Mollusca; Bivalvia; Mytilida; Mytilidae.